GCGGCUGUGGUCUAGUGGCAUGAUUCGAGCUUCCCAAGCUCGCGAUUCGGGUUCGAUUCCCGACAGCCGCA
RNAcentral lists this transfer RNA (71 nucleotides) under Candidatus Micrarchaeota archaeon CG_4_10_14_0_2_um_filter_60_11. RNAcentral describes it as "tRNA-Gly". It matches the Rfam family "tRNA". From Rfam's summary of the family: Transfer RNA (tRNA) molecules are approximately 80 nucleotides in length. Their secondary structure includes four short double-helical elements and three loops (D, anti-codon, and T loops). The record is from RNAcentral. RNAcentral also lists the same sequence under 3 other names. Lineage: Archaea; Nanobdellati; Microcaldota.